CAGACCUCUAAUCGGAAAAGACUACCCGCUGAGUUUAAG
Molecule: ribosomal RNA, 39 nt
Filed under: Scorpidium scorpioides
Lineage: Eukaryota; Viridiplantae; Streptophyta; Bryopsida; Hypnales; Amblystegiaceae
Also listed under: 4 other names
Description: partial 25S ribosomal RNA
Source: RNAcentral